GAUGGGCAGGAUUCCCUGAGUGAACGAGUUGAGGCGGCCCCGACUGCCGCUCGCACUCCCGGGGGUCCCGGAGCCCAA
Cricetulus griseus (Chinese hamster) is the source of this 78-nucleotide microRNA precursor. The record is from Ensembl. NCBI's taxonomy places the organism in Eukaryota, Metazoa, Chordata, Mammalia, Rodentia, Cricetidae.